Non-coding RNA from Xyrichtys novacula (pearly razorfish), 3423 nucleotides. The record is from the annotation of a GenBank genome assembly. Lineage: Eukaryota; Metazoa; Chordata; Actinopteri; Labriformes; Labridae.
GAAGAAGAAGCAGAAGAAGAAGAAGCAGAAGAAGAAGAAGAAGAUGGCGGCAAGGUUACUACUCCGUUCGGCUUUCAGAGCCGCUAGAACCUGCCGGGCCGCCCCGGUACCGGCUCUGACCCGCGGGAUGUCUGCUGGAGGUGAGCACAGAACCAUUAAACUCGUGUCAAUCGUAUUUAGUAAUGAUUUAUGAUCAAAAAAGCGCAUCAGGACCGAGCCGAGUUCAGGCGGAAGAACUACAAAAGCUAGCUUAAUGCUAAGAUUCUACACCGGUAACUGUGAGAGGUCACGAGAUGUUGUUUAAUAAAAUCAUAAUAUGUGUUUUUUUCUCGGACAGUCAUCGUGUUUAAGACCUUUUAUUUUUAUCUCAAAUAUCUGAUAUUACCUGAAAUCUGUCGUAUUGCUUUGUCGGGUGUAACCUGGUUAUUGUAGUUUGAAUAGUCGUGUCCAGGUUAUCUUACUCAUUUUGGUCCUUUUAUUUCUUGUUUUGUGUUUUCAGGUAUUCCCACUGAUGAGGAGCAGGCCACCGGGCUGGAGAAGAUCAUCAUGAAGGCCAUGAAGGAGGGGACGGUGAGAUCUUCUCUCUCUUUUUUCUUUCAGGUCAUAUUUACUCUGUUUAGAAGAUCCAGAAGAGACUGAGGGCUUCAUGGUGAAUUAUGAACAUCUGAAGGUGGUUUAGGGUUACUACAGGUCUGGUAUCAGCAAGUCUGUUAUCUGCAGUCAGCAGGCGUCACUCCUCAUAUAUCUCUGAGAACAUUCAGAUGAUUUUUAGAGGUUGGGAUCUGAAUAAUUGUCAAUAUGCUUGUGAAAAUAAGCUUCUCAUGAACGAUGACACCUGAGUGACACUUUCAUCACUUUGCUUGACUUCAUCUCCUCCUCAUCUUCCUCAGGACCCCUACAGCAUGAUGAGACCAAAGGAGUACGCCGGCUCCAAGGCGGACCCCCACCUGGUCCCCUCCAUCACUAACAAGAGGAUUGUGGGAUGUGUCUGUGAGUUUCUUCUUCAUUGGAGCUCCUUUAACCCUUGUGCAUAUCUUAAAAUUUACUUACAUUCGUUAACCUCGUGUACACAAAUGGUCCGUCUAAUAAAAGUGCAAUAAAAACGUGAUACAUGAAUUUUUUAUUACUUUUAAAGCAUCACAUCUUGUCAGCAACUUCAGAUCUAUCCAUAGAUAUAAAUUAUAUUAUAAUUUGUUAAUAUUUUUUUAGGUUUUUGUGUCUUGUCAUGAGAACUGCUGAUUUUUUUCAAUGGGAAAAACAUCUAAUAGGUGUAACGAUAUGAAAAUUUCCCAUCAUGAUUAUUGUGACCAAAAAGAUCACAGUUAUCAAUAUUAUCACAGUAUUGUUGAAAUAUGUUCAAAAUGUUUGAGGAGUACUUAUACACGCCCUGAAAUCAUUUAACAAAGUUUUAUUUUGGAAAAACAAUCAAAAUAACAGGCAGAAUUUGCUUUUCCUUAACCUUAAAUAACAGAGGAAUGAUAAGCUUAAAAAAGAUGGGGCCUUAAAAGAGCCAGAGGUAAUCAACACUAGUAACAACAAAGUACAAAGUAAUGUGCUAGUGGCAUAAACAUUAGCAUAAUAACAAAUAAAUAAAAUUUCAAUAAAAUGACAUUCAUUAUUGUGCAAACUGUAAGAAGUUCUACUCCUACAAAUAUAAAACAGAACAACACGACUAUAUGAAACAAAACAACCACGUAAACAGUGGUGAAGUUCAGGUGUUUAAAAAAACAUUAAAUAUCUAAACUAAUCAAAUGAGCUGAUUGUCUGUUUUCUGUACCAUAAGGUGCUGCUGCUGACUUUGUUCACUACUGGGAUGCAUAAAAGUUUUCUGGCAACUCUCGCAACCCUUUUGUAGAAGCUGAGAUCACCCAGACUUCAGACUUUGUUUUUUUUGACAGUGGAAAAAAUCUCUGCAACACGGUCGGCAGAACUGCCCUCCGCCAUGUUUACAAGUUCUUUACCGCGCAGUGAGCAUGUGUCUGAAGGACUGCUGCGUGCGGCUGCUCUUCUCAGCACUGAGCAGUAUCACUGUGAGCUUUUCCAGAGUGCGGCAAUCAAAUAUGGUUUUAACGGUAAUUAAAAAUUGAAACGAUAGUACUAAUCAUCAGACAUUUUACAGCGGUUUAUCAUUUUACCGGUAAUCGUUACAUUCUUAACACCAAAUAUGCAAUAUUGCCAAAAAUGAGGUGCAAAGUGAAAUAUUUUUUGAUAAAGAUAUAACAGCCUUGACCAUGUCAAUAACAGCUUUGUUAUUUCUAUGCAUUUUGCGAGGUAAGAAAUCCAGGCCUUCACUGGAAUUUCUCCGAAACGUUAUGUAAUGGGAGUCAUUGCACCUAAAACAUAUUUUCCUGAAAGUUUGAAGGUAAAAGCUAAGAUCUAUUAGGUAUAAAACAAAAAAGCAUUAUAAUAUGUUAGGAUUAUAACUUAUAACAAAUAUGUGAUUAUAAUGGGAGUCAAUGGGGCAAAUUUGGUCACAAGGUUAACAAGUGUCUGUGUGAUGCAAAUCUCCAAAUCUAAACACUUCCAAUGGAUAGGCUUUUGGAAUUAAGAAAGUAAAAACGAAAAAAAAUUAGUGACAAAAUCGAGAGGCAAACAAAUAAAAAAAAACAAAAUGUCACUUUUGGUCCCCAAGAUGCUCCAAGGAGUUAAAAACACUCUAAGACUCUGCAGCUGUCGGCUCAGGAGAUUUCGGAAACAUUAAAUCCUGUCGACAACAGACUGAGCGAGAUAAACAGACUUUUCUAUCACCAACAAACCGCAAAGAAAGAACUCAGAAAGUCUGUGAAGCUGAAGGAAAAAGUUCAGACACGUUUAAAUUCAUGUUCAUUCUAAACUGGAGGCUCAUGUUUUCACUGGUUUUCCUCCAGUUUUCUCUCACUGGUUCACUGUUUGCGUCUCUCACUCUGUUUCCUCUCUGCAGGUGAAGAAGACAACACGGCCGUGGUUUGGUUCUGGCUUCAUGAGGGCGAGGCCCAGCGCUGCCCAUCCUGUGGUUCCCACUACAAACUGGUUCCCCACGAGCUCCCCCACUAACUAACCAGUUACCAGAGAUGAUGUAGCUGUGUGUGAGUGUGAGAGUGUGUGUUAGUGUGUGUAAAGUAUUAUCUCCUCCCACCUUAAGACAUAUUAGUCUUUUAUUAAUUCUUCAUCUCCAGGAAGUUCAUUUCUUCCUGAGCUCCGCGGCUCAGUCUACUUCCUGGUCCUAGGUCAUGAUCUCUCGUCUGAUUGGUCCUUGACUUGCUUACCUCAACAGUCUUUUCUUUCCAUGUUACAAAGAACACAGGGAUCAGAUGUGGUUUGGGACACAAGAGUUUCUCUGAAACAUUUCCACUCAGCUGCAGUUUACAUUCACUCACAUUCUGUACUGUGUUACACAGGAACUUCUUUUACUCCAAUAAUAAAGUCAGCUCUGAUAUUUAUCUG